Molecule: ribosomal RNA, 244 nt
Filed under: Triticum aestivum (bread wheat)
Lineage: Eukaryota; Viridiplantae; Streptophyta; Magnoliopsida; Poales; Poaceae
Description: partial small subunit ribosomal RNA
Source: RNAcentral
UGUUCUGGGCGCGGGAGCCGGAGGGGCUGGUCACGCCGCAGUUCUGCGGCGGCGAGUCGUUGACGCGGAGACGGGGGUGGUGCAGCGGUAGGAGGCCGCGCGGCCGCCCUGUCUGCGGUUGUAGGAGGCCUCGUCCCAGGUUCAGCUGCGGCUGCCGCCUGCACCCCUCGCCGCCGCGCAGUGAGGUGUCGAGCCGGCCGUAGUAGCGGCCGAAGUAGCACCGGCGCCAGAUGCGGCACCGGUG